This is a long non-coding RNA of Oncorhynchus keta (chum salmon), 2794 nucleotides long. RefSeq lists it as uncharacterized. The record is from RefSeq and is a predicted model, not a curated record. Lineage: Eukaryota; Metazoa; Chordata; Actinopteri; Salmoniformes; Salmonidae. The transcript has 5 exons.
GUCAGUGUGUUCUGUAGGUGAAGGAAGGUAUCAGAUGAGGUCAGUGUGUUCUGUAGAUGAAGGAAGGUAUCAGAUGAGAUCAGUGUGUUCUGUAGAUGAAGGAAGGUAUCAGAUGAGGUCAGUGUGUUCUGUAGAUGAAGGAAGGUAUCAGAUGAGGUCAGUGUGUUCUGUAGAUGAAGGAAGGUAUCAGAUGAGGUCAGUGUGUUCUGUAGAUGAAGGAUGAUAUCAGAUGAGGUCAGUGUGUUCUGUAGAUGAAGGAAGGUAUCAGAUGAGAUCAGUGUGUUCUGUAGAUGAAGGAAGGUAUCAGAUGAGAUCAGUGUGUUCUGUAGAUGAAGGAUGAUAUCAGAUGAGAUCAGUCUGUCUUGUAAAGGAAGGUAUCAGAUGAGGUCAGUGUGUUCUGUAGAUGAAGGAAGGUAUCAGAUGAGGUCAGUGUGUUCUGUAGAUGAAGGUAUCAGAUGAGGUCAGUGUGUUCUGUAGAUGAAGGAAGGUAUCAGAUGAGGUCAGUGUGUUCUGUAGAUGAAGGAAGGUAUCAGAUGAGGUCAGUGUGUUCUGUAGAUGAAGGAAGGUAUCAGAUGAGGUCAGUGUGUUCUGUAGAUGAAGGAUGGUAUCAGAUGAGGUCAGUGUGUUCUGUAGAUGAAGGAUGGUAUCAGAUGAGGUCAGUGUGUUCUGUAGAUGAAGGAAGGUAUCAGAUGAGGUCAGUGUGUUCUGUAGAUGAAGGAAGGUAUCAGAUGAGGUCAGUGUGUUCUGUAGAUGAAGGAUGGUAUCAGAUGAGAUCAGUCUGUCUUGUAAAGGAAGGUAUCAGAUGAGGUCAGUGUGUCCUGUAGAUGAAGGAUGAUAUCAGAUGAGAUCAGUCUGUCUUGUAAAGGAAGGUAUCAGAUGAGGUCAGUGUGUUCUGUAGAUGAAGGAAGGUAUCAGAUGAGGUCAGUCUGUCUUGUAAAGGAAGGUAUCAGAUGAGGUCAGUGUGUUCUGUAGAUGAAGGAAGGUAUCAGAUGAGGUCAGUGUGUUCUGUAGAUGAAGGAUGGUAUCAGAUGAGGUCAGUGUGUUCUGUAGAUGAAGGAAGGUAUCAGAUGAGGUCAGUGUGUUCUGUAGAUGAAGGAAGGUAUCAGAUGAGAUCAGUGUGUCUUGUAAAGGAAGGUAUCAGAUGAGGUCAGUCUGUUCUGUAGAUGAAGGUAUCAGAUGAGGUCAGUCUGUCUUGUAAAGGAAGGUAUCAGAUGAGGUCAGUGUGUUCUGUAGAUGAAGGAUGGUAUCAGAUGAGGUCAGUGUGUUCUGUAGAUGAAGGAAGGUAUCAGAUGAGGUCAGUGUGUUCUGUAGAUGAAGGAAGGUAUCAGAUGAGGUCAGUGUGUUCUGUAGAUGAAGGAAGGUAUCAGAUGAGGUCAGUGUGUUCUGUAGAUGAAGGAAGGUAUCAGAUGAGAUCAGUGUGUUCUGUAGAUGAAGGAAGGUAUCAGAUGAGGUCAGUGUGUUCUGUAGAUGAAGGAAGGUAUCAGAUGAGGUCAGUGUGUUCUGUAGAUGAAGGAAGGUAUCAGAUGAGGUCAGUGUGUUCUGUAGAUGAAGGAUGGUAUCAGAUGAGGUCAGUGUUUUCUGUAGAUGAAGGAUGGUAUCAGAUGAGAUCAGUGUGUUCUGUAGAUGAAGGAAGGUAUCAGAUGAGGUCAGUGUGUUCUGUAGAUGAAGGAUGGUAUCAGAGGAGGUCAGUGUGUUCUGUAGAUGAAGGAUGGUAUCAGAUGAGGUCAGUGUGUUCUGUAGAUGAAGGAAGGUAUCAGAUGAGGUCAGUGUGUUCUGUAGAUGAAGGAAGGUAUCAGAUGAGGUCAGUGUGUUCUGUAGAUGAAGGAAGGUAUCAGAUGAGGUCAGUGUGUUCUGUAGAUGAAGGAAGGUAUCAGAUGAGGUCAGUGUGUUCUGUAGAUGAAGGAUGAUAUCAGAUGAGGUCAGUGUGUUCUGUAGAUGAAGGAUGGUAUCAGAUGAGGUCAGUGUGUUCUGUAGAUGAAGGAGAGCACCCUGCUGCUAAGCAACCCUGUAUGUCUGACUGUUCUGAUAACUAACUCCCUGCUUCUCAGCAACCCUGUAUGUCUGACUGUUCUGAUAACUACCUCCCUGCUGCUAAGCAACCCUGUAUGUCUGACUGUUCUGAUGACUAACUCCCUGCUGCUAAGCAACCCUGUAUGUCUGACUGUUCUGAUAACUAACUCCCUGCUGCUAAGCAACCCUGUAUGUCUGACUGUUCUGAUAACUAACUCCCUGCUGCUAAGCAACCCUGUAUGUCUGACUGUUCUGAUAACUAACUCCCUGCUGCUCAGCAACCCUGUAUGUCUGACUGUUCUGAUAACUAACUCCCUGCUGCUAAGCAACCCUGUAUGUCUGACUGUUCUGAUAACUACCUCCCUGCUGCUAAGCAACCCUGUAUGUCUAACUGUUCUGAUAACUAACUCCCUGCUGCUAAGCAACCCUGUAUGUCUGACUGUUCUGAUAACUAACUCCCUGCUGCUAAGCAACCCUGUAUGUCUGACUGUUCUGAUAACUAACUCCCUGCUGCUAAGCAACCCUGUAUGUCUAACUGUUCUGAUAACUAACUCCCUGCUGCUCAGCAACCCUGUAUGUCUGACUGUUCUGAUAACUAACUCCCUGCUGCUAAGCAACCCUGUAUGUCUAACUGUUCUGAUAACUAACUCCCUGCUGCUAAGCAACCCUGUAUGUCUGACUGUUCUGAUAACUAACUCCCUGCUGCUAAGCAACCGUGUAUGUCUGACUGUUCUGAUAACUAACUCCCUGCUGCUAAGCAACCCUGUAUGUCUGACAUCUAACU